UACGUAGGAUCCAAGCGUUAUCCGGAAUCAUUGGGUUUAAAGGGUGCGUAGGCGGCCCAGUAAGUCAGUGGUGAAAUCUCCCGGCUCAACCGGGAAAUUGCCAUUGAUACUGCUGGGCUUGAAUUAUCAGUAAGUAACUAGAAUAUGUAGUGUAGCGGUGAAAUGCUUAGAUAUUACAUGGAAUACCAAUUGCGAAGGCAGGUUACUGCUGGUGGAUUGACGCUGAUGGACGAAAGCGUGGGUAGCGAACAGG
Molecule: ribosomal RNA, 253 nt
Filed under: uncultured bacterium
Lineage: Bacteria
Description: partial 16S ribosomal RNA
Rfam family: Bacterial small subunit ribosomal RNA
Source: RNAcentral